AUGGCAGAAAUAGCUCCUCGAGAGAGUUCCAGUACCCCCCUUUCUCCAUGGCCCACUCCAGUUGAUUCUUUCAAUACUGCUAACUCAGCCCCAGGAACUGAAAUCACCUCCAUUGUGCCUCUAUCUUCACUUCCAAGAGCCACAGGUGCCACAGAAACCAUACCAAAUCAUGAUUCAUCAAUGAGACAUACCACACUAGAGCCAGGCUCAGCUUCCCUAACUUCCACUGCUACCAGCACCAUUCCAACAUUAUCUGGAGAAGAUGCAAACACCCCAUUGUUGUCUAUAGAAGGACCAACAGAAGAUAAAACAGUGUCCAGGACCUUCCCAGAGAAUUUAGACACUCCUGGUAUCACUCACAGGGAGCACUACUUCACAGGUCCUGGAAUAACUUUUCAACCUGACAUGGCCUCUACUUCUCUGGCCAAUUUAAGUGAAGGGAUCAGUUACUCCAGAAUUGUACCCUCAUCCCCUUUAGAGAGUAGGAAAAGCACUGCCAUGUUUGGAAUCUGGAUAAGCCCAGCUGAACCUCUCACUCUGGAGCCCAAGAAGCCCACCCCUCCUGAGGGUUCACCAGUGACUGAAUUUAGCAGCAGGGAAAGUGGACAUUUACAGAAUAGUUUGGCCACAGGCAGCACUACAGAAUCAGAUAUCAGUACACUCAUCCCUGGCAAUUUUCAUCCUUCUGAGGGCACUGCUAACCUCAUAUCAAGCCCAGUGGAAGGCUCCAGCCCAAAGGCAUCUGUCUAUACCUCUCUACCCCACACCUCAGGUACUACAGGGACCAGGAUUGGAGAAGAGACAGACUCAUCCUUGGUGUUGACUACACCAGCACCUGCUGUCUCUAUCAGCAGCAUCUCUGGGGCUCUCCUUGGUACAAGAACAGUGGUUCCAUGGUCUUCGAAUUCAGCUGAAGCUACAGAUCUUACCAUGAAUCGCCUUGAUCCUAUAUCCAUGUUGCCAUCCAAAUUCUCCACUUCAUCUCCUGUAACAUUUUCAGGGGUUACUUACAAGGCUGAAGACAAGAGCUCCAAUGUUCCUGGGACUGACAGCAUAAGUAUCAUCUUCAGCAGCAAGGUCACAGACAGGGUCUCUCUCCAUCCUGAGAUCACUCCUAACCAAAAUCUACUGGGCACAAUGGAAGAGAGCACAGGUGCUUUGCUGACCCCUUCUUUGCCUGGACCUCCUGGGUCUUCAGCUGCUAAUAUGGGAAGUGUAUCAAACAUGUCAGGUACCAAUACUGGCUCAACUCCACAGGUGACUUUAGCUUAA
RNAcentral lists this long non-coding RNA (1272 nucleotides) under Monodelphis domestica (gray short-tailed opossum). RNAcentral's name for it is "lncRNA (ENSMODG00000027662.2)". The record is from RNAcentral. Lineage: Eukaryota; Metazoa; Chordata; Mammalia; Didelphimorphia; Didelphidae.